GGAUAUGAGGACAAUCUGGCUGCGACAUCCAUCACCCCGUUGAUUUGGCUGAUCUGGCUGGCUAGGCAGGUUUCCCCUUCCUCCCUCAUGGCUCCAUGUGUGUCCCUCCUGAAGUUACUCUCAGGAAACUCAGGUCGAAGAGGACAACCACCCGAUAUGUACUCUCCCUCUAGAACCUUCAAACAAACUCUCAAAAAUAGAAAAAGGUUAUAUGGGCUAGGACAAUCACCAAAUUAGUAGAUCGGACUU
Molecule: unclassified non-coding RNA, 249 nt
Organism: Fukomys damarensis (Damara mole-rat)
Lineage: Eukaryota; Metazoa; Chordata; Mammalia; Rodentia; Bathyergidae
Gene: 7SK
Rfam family: 7SK RNA
About the family: 7SK was discovered as an abundant small nuclear RNA in the mid-70s but a possible function has only recently been suggested. Two independent studies have found that 7SK RNA binds the CDK9/cyclin T complex (known as elongation factor P-TEFb). P-TEFb activates transcription by phosphorylating the C-terminal domain of RNA polymerase II.
Source: Ensembl